UUGUUAACUUACCUUAGAAUUUCUUAUCUUCCUUUCUCUUUUAUCCACUUUUUCUGCUGUAUCAUUAUCGUUUAGACCCAAUUUACCGGUUCCAAUGUAAUUGUAAACUUGGAUAAAUGUUGGAUAAACUUUAUUAGUAACAAACUGUUACUCGCAAGUUGAAACCAAAAAAUCAACAAAGCAAGUAACUUGAACUAUUACGCGCCAUAAUAUCUCAUGUUACUUUCCCCUUUAUUUCCCUCUUUUUGCCUUUUUAUCUUCAACCGUUUUUUUCUGGUUUUUUUCAAAUCCAAGUUACAGUGAAAAUUACUAAUCUGUUUAUUUUUACUCUUUGUUUUAAUCUCGCAAGUCUAGUCUAUUGUCACGUUAUGGAUGCUUUAAUGUCUUCUUCUUUUCUUAAACCCAGUUUCUUUGACUCUGUUUGCAUAUCUUUUUUACCACUUUAACCUACUUGACACUUUCGACUACCUGGCAUAGUUGAAUAGUUAAAGUUAAUCUUUGUUGGCUUCUUCCAGAGUAAAUUCAAAUAACAAGCAGUAAAAGGCUCGUCAUAAUCAUCAUCGGUUAUUUCUCCGAUUUCAUCAAUUUCCUCUUGUUUGCUAUUUGAUUUGUUUAUGUUACAUGAUGAAAGAAUUUAAAAUGGCUAUUGAAAUUUAUCAAGACAAGGUUCAAAUUAUCAACAUUCAACUGCUAUUACAUACCCGUAAACAAGUCUAACCUCAUUGAAGCCAUAUUGAAGAUGAACAAUCAAACGAUAAUCAUCAUUCUCAUCAUGGUAAAUAAAUAGGAAAAAAUGCUGAUGUUAUAUGUGCAAAUGACCCAGAAAGCAAUAGGAAGAAGAUAAAAGAUGAUAAUAUUAAUGAUUAUUACAAUGAUCCAUUGAUUUGAUUAUGGUUGUCUCACUCAAUUUUGCUGAUCAAUCUUUUUCUUCCUACAACUUAUAACUUCUAGGAGUCCCAAUCACCUGUUUGUCAAUUAAAUUGAUAAAGCAAUAA
Tetranychus urticae (two-spotted spider mite) is the source of this 995-nucleotide non-coding RNA. Lineage: Eukaryota; Metazoa; Arthropoda; Arachnida; Trombidiformes; Tetranychidae. The record is from RefSeq and is a predicted model, not a curated record.